GGGGUGAAUUGGGUUUUCUAACCUUUUAAUUCCUUAAUCAAAUUGAUAGAUGAAUGGGUAGUUUAGCUAAUAUUAAUUAAGUGCGUGUAGUGAAAUUAGAAAGGCACACAAUACAAAUACAUAAGAAAUAUAGUGGUUCGGUGCUCUCCUAAGCACCUACGUCCACUUCCUAAGCGUCUUCUUGGAAAUUCACUGUAAUCCGCGAGAAAAUUCACUGUAAUCCCGCGGAUUACAGUUGGAUUGUUUUUCGGGCUCACAAUCCAAAAACCUUUACAAUUUGGUUUUUCGAGAUCACCAAUAAUCUACGUUGGUUUUGCGGACUCACCAACAACCUACAAUGUUGGUUUUACGGGCUUACCAACUAACCUUACAACAAGAUUGAUAAGUAACAAAAGAGAGCUCCUAAGAGAGCAAAUAAAGCAAUUAUAAACUACAAAGAAGAGUUUAGAGAAUGUUUAUCGCUUUGGAGGAGCUAUUCUUUUCUUUGUCAAGCUUGCUUCCCUUUACAAGGAUUGGUGGAGCUAUUGAUGACUCUUUGAAACUGCUCAACAACUUUCUUUUGGCCCUUUUGAAGAAGCAAUUGAAUGAGGCUUUCUUUUCUAGGGUUUGCUCUUGAAUGUGCUUCUUUUAUAUCCAAAGAUUUCUUCCUUUGAUGAAUAGU
Molecule: long non-coding RNA, 661 nt
Filed under: Phoenix dactylifera (date palm)
Lineage: Eukaryota; Viridiplantae; Streptophyta; Magnoliopsida; Arecales; Arecaceae
Description: long non-coding RNA (PDAC_LNC008760)
Source: RNAcentral